UCACAUAAGUUUAGUUUCGCGACUCUAAUCAUAAUCAAUGAUGACUUCAUUAAUAGUAAUACGAAUUAAGAGUCUAAGCUCAACAAGAUAAUACUGCACCAUAUGAUAGAAGAUCUUAGUUUAAGGGAUUGAAAGAUAAGAUAGCAAGCUAGUCGUUAGCGGAAGCAAAAGACGAAGCAGAAUCCAAGCCUCAGCUCAACCCCAUCUGUACCAACCGAUCAACCUGAAAACAUUUAAAAAUAUUUUGGGCUGAGCACUAGUGUACUCAGUGAGCUAUGCAUUUUAUAAAUAUUUUAUGAAAUAACCAAGGCAGUUUAUCCAAUAUCACAAUCAUAACUCAGAAGGUUUUAAAACAGAAAUCCACUUCUAAGCAUGAUAAAACUUUUUCUCAUUAAGUGGCGCGCCAUGUGACGUUUGAUUGUUACUCACUGCUUAUGAUCCCGGACCUCUAGCCACCGACGGAUCGCUUUCUUUUCUCCCAUUUAUCAAUCUCGGGACGCACCCGGUCAGAUCAAUAAUCAUUUAUGUGCUUCGGAACACAUCCAGACAAGCACCCUUAUAACGCCUCUUAGCUUUGUUAGUGCACGAUGGCGAUCAACCCAUCGAGCCACUAACCUUGUGUACACAAUCCUCAUCUAACGUGUUAGGCCAAAUGAGAAUCUCGAUCGAUGAUUAUGCGAGCAUUAAACAAUAUAGAACGCACAUAAAAACAUUUAUAUUGGAUAAACGAACAUCUUCAUGAAAUAUCAGAGCUUAUAUAACUCAAAAUACAUUUAUGUAAAAUAAAGCCCACCUUGAUUGGACAAAGUCCGAAGUCAAACGUAACUUGUCUCGUAAAAGCAAUGCUAAUCCUCUUGGUCAACUGAACCUACAAUAUAAUCUAAACUUAAUAGGUCUCGUGAUACUAGCCUUAGAUAUUAGCAAAGUGAGGCUACUAAAUUCUGAUUCGCUA
Molecule: long non-coding RNA, 952 nt
Filed under: Salvia miltiorrhiza (redroot sage)
Lineage: Eukaryota; Viridiplantae; Streptophyta; Magnoliopsida; Lamiales; Lamiaceae
Description: long non-coding RNA (SMIL_LNC007548)
Source: RNAcentral